RNAcentral lists this long non-coding RNA (412 nucleotides) under Homo sapiens (human). RNAcentral's name for it is "non-protein coding lnc-POLR1C-1:1". The record is from RNAcentral. Lineage: Eukaryota; Metazoa; Chordata; Mammalia; Primates; Hominidae.
CAGAAAUAGUAACUGGUGCAUGGGCUGUGGUGAGGGAGCCUGCUGUGCCAUGUCAGUCAAAUCUGGGCUGUCUUCAUGAUUCAACUUGGUGAUGUGAUGCAACCUUGGGCCUGGGUUGAAUGGACAGACUGACAUUAGAAUCUACACUGAGCACACCUUAAAGGGGUGUGUGUGUGUUUAAUGUAGAUGUACGUAUAAGGCUCAUUUCUGACUUUGAUUACUGACAUGAGCAGUUGAUUAGCCGUAGUAAAUAUUAAAUUCAUAGUCUGGAUAUAAUUUUUAAAAAAUAGCAAGACAUCACCCCCCCCCCAAAAAAAAACUUAACAGUCAAUGUCUUUCCUGAAUAAAAUUAAUAAAAUUUGAAACAAUAAAUAAUAAAAAUAGGAAGUAGCAAACUACACAGAAAAAAAAA